AACGUAGGAGACAAACGUUAUCCGGAGUUACUGGGCGUAAAGGGCGUGUAGGCGGUUUGUUAAGUCUGGCGUGAAAGCUCUCGGCUAAACCGGGAGAGGUCGUUGGAUACUGGCAGACUAGAGGACGGUAGAGGCGUGUGGAAUUCCGGGUGGAGUGGUGAAAUGCGUAGAGAUCCGGAGGAACACCAGUGGCGAAGGCGACACGCUGGGCCGUACCUGACGCUAAAGCGCGACAGCAUGGGGAGCAAACGGG
This 253-nucleotide ribosomal RNA is filed under the name uncultured bacterium. Its description in RNAcentral is "partial 16S ribosomal RNA". It matches the Rfam family "Bacterial small subunit ribosomal RNA", at positions 524 to 776 of the family's 1533-position model. The record is from RNAcentral.